RNAcentral lists this ribosomal RNA (227 nucleotides) under uncultured bacterium. RNAcentral describes it as "partial 16S ribosomal RNA". It matches the Rfam family "Bacterial small subunit ribosomal RNA", at positions 29 to 238 of the family's 1533-position model. The record is from RNAcentral.
AACGAACGCUGGCGGCGUGGAUUAGGCAUGCAAGUCGAACGAGAAAGCACCCUUCGGGGUGCAAGUACAGUGGCGGACUGGUGAGUAACGCGUGGGAAACCUGCCUUCGAGUGGGGAGUAACAGUUCUAACGGACUGCUAAUACCGCAUAACGCUGUUGUUCGCGAUGUUCAACAGUUAAAGAUGGCCUCUACAUGUAAGCUGUCGCUUGAUGAUGGUCCCGCGUCC